Mycena leptocephala is the source of this 107-nucleotide non-coding RNA. The record is from the annotation of a GenBank genome assembly. Lineage: Eukaryota; Fungi; Basidiomycota; Agaricomycetes; Agaricales; Mycenaceae.
UCCGGCAUGGUGUAGUGGUUAACAUAGGUGCCUUUCAAGAAAAGUCACGUGGUUUAAAUUGAGUAACUUGAUCGCACUAGCCCGGGGUUCGAUUCCCCGUACCGGAA